Acanthosepion pharaonis is the source of this 111-nucleotide non-coding RNA. NCBI's taxonomy places the organism in Eukaryota, Metazoa, Mollusca, Cephalopoda, Sepiida, Sepiidae. The record is from the annotation of a GenBank genome assembly.
UGGCUAUAUCACAUUGAAACACUGUUUCCUGUACCAUCACCAAAGUUAAGCAACAUUGAGCCUGGUCAUUACCUAGAUGGGUGACCAUUUGGGAAUACUAGGUGCUGUAAG